AUUGAACGCUGGCGGCAGGCCUAACACAUGCAAGUCGAGCGGACGAAGGGAGCUUGCUCCUGGAUUCAGCGGCGGACGGGUGAGUAAUGCCUAGGAAUCUGCCUGGUAGUGGGGGAUAACGUCCGGAAACGGGCGCUAAUACCGCAUACGUCCUGAGGGAGGAAGAGGGGGAUCUUCGGACCUCACGCUAUCAGAUGAGCCUAGGUCGGAUUAGCUAGUUGGUGGGGUAAAGGCCUACCAAGGCGACGAUCCGUAACUGGUCUGAGAGGAUGAUCAGUCACACUGGAACGGGGACACGGUCCAGAAUCCUACGGGAGGCAGCAGUGGGGAAUAUUGGAGAAUGGGCGCAAGCCUGAUCCAGCCAUGCCGCGUGUGUGAAGAAGGUCUUCGGAUUGUAAAGCAGAUUAAGUUGGGAGGAAGGGCAGUAAGUUAAUACCUUGCUGUUUUGACGGUAACAACAGAAUAAGCACCGGCUAACUUCGUG
Molecule: ribosomal RNA, 484 nt
Filed under: uncultured bacterium
Lineage: Bacteria
Description: partial 16S ribosomal RNA
Rfam family: Bacterial small subunit ribosomal RNA
Source: RNAcentral